This 2083-nucleotide unclassified non-coding RNA is filed under the name Portunus trituberculatus (swimming crab). RNAcentral describes it as "endonuclease 8-like 1, transcript variant X2". Lineage: Eukaryota; Metazoa; Arthropoda; Malacostraca; Decapoda; Portunidae. The record is from RNAcentral.
GGGACUGAAAACUCGCGGCGGGGGUGACAGAUACACUCUCUGCGCACCACCACCACAACCACCACCGUAAAAAUGCCAGAGGGACCAGAACUUCACUUGGCAGCUAAAUUCAUCACCGCAAUCGGGCAGAGGACGCUAUUUGGGGGCCAGGUGGUCAAGUCAGCAGUGUCUACCAAGAACCCUGACGUGGAAUGGAACAAGGAAGUGUACAGGGUGCGUGCCAACUCCAGAGGGAAGGAGUUGAAGGUGGUGGUGACGGAGGGUGAAUCUGAGGUGAAGGGCGGCGCGUCUCUCAGUAUCCUCUUCCGUUUUGGCAUGUCAGGCAGUUUCAAGUACACUCCUGUCAGUGAGCUUCCCAAACACGCACAUUUACAGUUUUACACCAUCAAUGAACCAAUUCCGAUGGUGCUGAGCUUUGUGGAUUACCGUCGGUUUGGCCGGUGGGAGGUGGAGGGUGAAUGGGGUGCAGAUCGUGGCCCAGACCCCAUUUGGGAGUAUCAGGCAUUCCGGAGCAAUGUGAUGGAGAACCUCAAGUUAUCAGCCUUCAAUAGACCCAUCUGUGAGGCCAUGCUUAACCAGAAGUUCUUUAAUGGCAUAGGAAAUUAUUUGCGAGCUGAGAUUUUAUACAGGUGUGGUGUCCGUCCCUUUGAUGAGGCACGUGAAGUCCUGAGUGAACUGAAGCCAUUUAGCAAGUGGUACGAGACUCAGGUGAAGCAGGAGGAUGUCAAAAAUAUAGUGAAACAAGAGGAUGUCCAAAAGAUUGUGGUGAAACAGGAAGAUAACAAGGAAAUAGUGAAGCAGGAGGAUGUCAAAGAGAAUAUAGUGAAACAGGAGGAUGUCAAAGAGAAUAUAGUGAAACAGGAAGGCAACAAGAAGAGUGUGAAGGAGAGCAAAGUGAAGCCAGACUUACUAGACCUUUGCCACAUCUUGCCCAAGGAGGUGGUGGGUCUUGAGGGUGGAGGCAAGGGCUACAAUGUCGACCCUGAUGCCAAUGAGGAAGAGUAUGCUGCAUUUAGGGAAUGGCUGCAGUGCUACUACCAGGACGGGAUGAAGAACAUGGUGGACCACAAUGGCCGCACCAUGUGGUUCAGUGGAGAACCGGGUCGCCUCAAGCCAAAGGAUGCAAGUUCAAGAAAUAAGAUAGUGAGGACAAAGAAGAUGCACAAGAAGGAUGAGAACAAGAAGGAAGCAGAGGAACAGAACCCUGACUUGGGACAUGAAGAAAAUAACACUAGGACAAAGAAAAGACCUUCUAGAGCCAAAACAGACAAAGCGGCAGAGACAAAGAAAGCACCACCCAAUAAAACACCAGCUAAUAAAACGCCAGCUAAGAAAACACCAGCUAAUAAAACGCCAGCUAAGAAAACGCCAGCUAAGAAAUCACUGAAUGGCCAAACAGGGAAAGCCACAAAGAGAGCAAAGGGAGUGAAGGUCAAGGAGGAAGAGACAGCCAUACCCACUCUAGCAUCCAAGAUUAAAGUGAAGCUGGAGGAAGCCAACAGUGUGCCAAAAACGCUCAGCAAGACUCACCCGUCACCAGUGAAGCAGAGAAGUGAAGCUCGUCUAGAUGUUGUUCUGCUACCUCAGUUUUUUACCCUUAAGGCGUAAGUCGGGUGGUGAGCUGGCAACACACACCGGUAGCGCCGUCAGACAAGCAGCGGCCGGCGAGUUGGCAGGAGGAAACGUGUGGUGUAUUGUACGAAAUGACGUGUGGGUGUGGCGGCGGGCGUGGUGGCCGUGGCGAUCACCGAGGAAAGAUGCGCUUGUCGUCCAUCGUCAUUCGUUGGUGUGCGGCGUUGGUAGGGACAGGGCAGGCCGUGUCGAGGCAUAGGACGCAGGAGAAACGUGGCGUGAUGGUUCAUGGGGUGCAGCUUGCAAGUAAUUGCUACAGAAUCUCCGCUACAAUCAUUGACCUCACCACGCUGUAACCACUGCUUCAGCCAAUGACGUAUCCAUCUACUGUACCGUCAUUACCUUGAUCUUGAUGCUACAGGUGGCUCGGGAUCGCUCUGGAACCAAGGCCUUUCGAUCGGCAACUCUGUAGAGGACAAACAAAAGACAAGGAGAUAAAAGGUAAAUAGUA